GUCUAUGGCCAUAUCACCCUGAACACGCCUGAUCUCAGAAGCUAAGCAAGGUAGGGCCUGGUUAGUACUUGGGUGGGAGACCACGCGCGCGGGCUGUAAAAACA
This 104-nucleotide ribosomal RNA is filed under the name Prolemur simus (greater bamboo lemur). The record is from RNAcentral. Lineage: Eukaryota; Metazoa; Chordata; Mammalia; Primates; Lemuridae.